This is a long non-coding RNA of Physeter macrocephalus (sperm whale), 194 nucleotides long. RefSeq lists it as uncharacterized. The record is from RefSeq and is a predicted model, not a curated record. The transcript is spliced from 3 exons. Lineage: Eukaryota; Metazoa; Chordata; Mammalia; Artiodactyla; Physeteridae.
CUGGAAAAGCUCAGAAAGGUUUCUUGGAAGAGAUCCAAAUGUUCUCAAAAUCUGGAAAAGCAGAGGAUGGGAAAAUUCUUCCAACGAAUGAUGCCAAGUAAGGGUAUAGCACUUCCUGCCAAAAGUCUCCCAAGUAAAUAAAUUGCACAGAACCCAAGCUCUUGGAUCUGGACAAAUGUUUCCAAAAUGCAACU